Molecule: RNA transcript, 2382 nt
Organism: Pistacia vera
Lineage: Eukaryota; Viridiplantae; Streptophyta; Magnoliopsida; Sapindales; Anacardiaceae
Gene name: probable Histone-lysine N-methyltransferase ATXR5
Exons: 7
Source: RefSeq, a predicted model, not a curated record
UCCCUUCCGUUUCUAUUUUCCACCAAGCACUCAAUUAAAAUUUUCUUCAGCUCUCUCUCUUUAAUUUAAUUCUAGAGAGCUCCAUAAAAUUUUUAAUUGAAAUUCGAUUUUUACCCUCGACCAUCGCCAUUAAUCCCGAAUUUGCCCCUGCCUGGACCGUCGCCAUUCAUGGCUCCAGCCACCUCCUCUUCGGCGGAGGCCCGGCGGUUCGUCGGCUCGCGGAGGAGGACCGAGGCUCCGCGAGGAAUGCACUCGCCCUCGCCCUCGCCGCCGCCGAAGAAGCUGAAGUCAAUGGCGGAGAUACUCGCCAAGGCGCGCUACGCCGUGGUGGACCGCGGCGACUACAGCGACGUCAUCUGCGAGCAAUGCCGGUGUGGCGAGAGCCCCGACGAGCUCCUCCUGUGCGAUAAGUGCGAUAAAGGCUUCCAUAUGAAGUGCUUGAGACCGAUAGUUGCUAGAAUACCGAUUGGAUCGUGGCUGUGCCCGAAUUGCUCCGGCCAGAGACGUGUAAGAAGUUUUUCGCAAAGGAAGAUAAUUGAUUUUUUCAAAAUUCAGAAGUGUAAAGAGGCGAAAGAGAGAUGUGGUUGGUCUCAUCAAGAUGCUCGAAGGCGUCGAAGACGAUCGGCAUUGGUGUUACAAAAGAAAAGAAGGAAAUUGUUGCCAUUUAUUCCAUCAGAAGAUCCUGCGCAAAGGCUGAAGCAAAUGGGCACUCUUGCUUCUGCUUUAACAGCAAUGCAAUUGGAAUUCAGUGAUGAUCUAACUUAUAUGCCUGGCAUGGCACCUAGAUCUGCCAAUCAGGCAAAGUUUGAAAAUGGUGGCAUGCAGAUUCUUUCCAAAGAAGAUACAGAGACCUUGGAACAAUGUAGAGCAAUGUGUAAAAGAGGCAAAUGCCCACCCCUUGUUGUAGUUUAUGAUUCAUGUGAAGGUUUUACUGUAGAGGCAGAUGGCCCCAUAAAGGAUAUGACAUUUAUUGCUGAAUACAUUGGCGAUGUCGAUUUCCUAAAAAACCGGGAGCACGACGAUUGUGAUAGUAUGAUGACCCUUCUUUUAGCAACAGAUCCAUCUAAAAGUCUGGUCAUAUGUCCUGAUAAACGUGGAAACAUUGCUCGCUUUAUCAAUGGAAUAAACAAUCAUACUCCGGAAGGUAAGAGGAAGCGGAAUUGUAAAUGUGUGAGAUACAGUGUUAAUGGUGAAUGCCGAGUCUUUUUGGUUGCUACUCGUGAUAUUGCUCAGGGGGAGAGGCUAUACUAUGAUUAUAAUGGAUAUGAGCAUGAAUACCCUACUCAUCAUUUUGUCUGAGAAAACAAACUAUAUCAGUUUAACAGUCCUACAGAACUGAGAUGCAAUUUUGGAUCUCGAUAGACCUCUCUCAUUUGGCAUUUAUAUUAUUUCACAGCUUAUUGUUAUUGCACAGUCAAAAGCAUUUCUUCAAAUUUGUACCCAGGACCAAUUUAAUGUAACUUAUGCUGUAGGACUGAUCCAUUCUUUGUCCAUGAGAGAAUAGAGCGGGCGAGAUAAAUUUCCCUGGGAAUUUUGCAUAUGAAGAAUUUAGAUGUCCUAGAAGUUAUUCAAGAAAUAACAUCUGUUUUCUUUACAGAUUUUAAUUAAAGUUUUUGCUUUUAUCUGAUGACUUCCAUUCUAUUGCUUUCAAGAUUAGUUACUUUCUGCUGGACUGAUACGGGCAUUGUGAUCUGGUCGUAUAUCUUUCUGUUAAUCUCUCGGUCAUUCAGAAAUGUGAUGGUUACCUUUCAGUUUACAAUGCUUAACUACCAUGUGGGAUACAUGAAUAUUAGAGAAGAGAAAACCUGCAAUCAGUUCCACUUUAAUGCUGUAAUUUCUUGCAGUCACACACUUACAAUGAUGCACUUAGAACCUUCAUAAAGCAUACUUCUGCAGAAUUGGAUUGAUCACUUUGUUGCAAAGUUUUCUUUUGAGAUGAAACUAUCUUCAUCAGUUCAUUCCGAACAUUCACAAAUUAAGGAUUCUAAUUAUGACUUAUACAGAAAAGGGCAGAUUACAUCUAGACUGGAAAAAUUGAGAUGCCCUUGCUGCUUUGCAAGUGCAUGGUCGCCUUAUUGUUGACCUUUGUGUGCCUUGCUAAAGGAUGACAAAGCUGCUUCAUCUUUGGGAUUUUUGCCAAGGGAAUGAAGUACGUUCUCUCUCAGGCUUAAAUUGAUUUGGAGACCUCAUCAGAAGCAUAUGGUACUUCAUUCUUCUGUCUCGGGAGCCAAUUCUCAGUUGAUCUAAACUUGGCGGCAUCUUUCAGUUCAAGUAUGCAAGUCCUCUUUGAUCAAGCUCAAGAUGUGAUUAGCAUCUCUUGCAUUUUAUUACUUCUCACAACUACUUUAUUUUCUUUUCUGUAAGCAUUGACACAUAUUCAAA